RNAcentral lists this ribosomal RNA (377 nucleotides) under uncultured bacterium. RNAcentral's name for it is "bacterial SSU rRNA". It matches the Rfam family "Bacterial small subunit ribosomal RNA", at positions 523 to 898 of the family's 1533-position model. The record is from RNAcentral.
AUACGUAGGUGGCGAGCGUUGUCCGGAAUUACUGGGUGUAAAGGGCGCGUAGGCGGGGAUGUAAGUCAGAUGUGAAAUACCAUGGCUUAACUGUGGGACUGCAUCUGAAACUAUGUAUCUUGAGUACCGGAGAGGAAAGCGGAAUUCCCAGUGUAGCGGUGAAAUGCGUAGAGAUUGGGAAGAACACCAGUGGCGAAGGCGGCUUUCUGGACGGUAACUGACGCUGAGGCGCGAAAGCGUGGGGAGCAAACAGGAUUAGAUACCCUGGUAGUCCACGCCGUAAACGAUGGAUACUAGGUGUAGGAGGUAUCGACCCCUUCUGUGCCGGAGUUAACACAAUAAGUAUCCCACCUGGGGAGUACGGCCGCAAGGUUGAA